CCUACGGGUGGCAGCAGUGAGGAAUAUUGGUCAAUGGGCGGAAGCCUGAACCAGCCAAGUAGCGUGCAGGAUGACGGCCCUACGGGUUGUAAACUUCUUUUAUACGGGAAUAACGUGCCUUACGUAUAGUGCUUUGCAUGUACCGUAUGAAUAAGGACCGGCUAAUUCCGUGCCAGCAGCCGCGGUAAUACGGAGGAUCCGGGCGUUAUCCGGAUUUAUUGGGUUUAAAGGGAGCGUAGGCCGCAUGUCAAGCGUGCUGUGAAAUGUCGGGGCUCACACCGGGCAUUGCAGCGCGUACUGGCAUGCUUGAGUACGCGGAAGGCAGGCGGAAUUCGUCGUGUAGCGGUGAAAUGCUUAGAUAUGACGAAGAACCCCGAUUGCGAAGGCAGCUUGCUGCAGCGGAACUGACGCUGAUGCUCGAAAGCGCGGGUAUCGAACAGGAUUAGAUACCCCUGUAGUC
RNAcentral lists this ribosomal RNA (460 nucleotides) under uncultured bacterium. RNAcentral describes it as "partial 16S ribosomal RNA". It matches the Rfam family "Bacterial small subunit ribosomal RNA", at positions 338 to 795 of the family's 1533-position model. The record is from RNAcentral.